This 467-nucleotide ribosomal RNA is filed under the name uncultured bacterium. RNAcentral's name for it is "partial 16S ribosomal RNA". It matches the Rfam family "Bacterial small subunit ribosomal RNA", at positions 28 to 507 of the family's 1533-position model. The record is from RNAcentral.
GACGAACGCUGGCGGCGUGCUUAACACAUGCAAAUCGAACGGAAAGGCCCUGCUUUUGUGGGGUGCUCGAGUGGCGAACGGGUGAGUAACACGUGAGUAACCUGCCCUUGACUUUGGGAUAACUUCAGGAAACUGGGGCUAAUACCGGAUAGGAGCUCCUGCUGCAUGGUGGGGGUUGGAAAGUUUCGGCGGUUGGGGAUGGACUCGCGGCUUAUCAGCUUGUUGGUGGGGUAGUGGCUUACCAAGGCUUUGACGGGUAGCCGGCCUGAGAGGGUGACCGGCCACAUUGGACUGAGAUACGGCCCAGUCUCCUACGGGAGGCAGCAGUGGGGAAUAUUGCACAAUGGGCGGAAGCCUGAUGCAGCAACGCCGCGUGCGGGAUGACGGCCUUCGGGUUGUAAACCGCUUUCGCCUGUGACGAAGCGUGAGUGACGGUAAUGGGUAAAGAAGCACCGGCUAACUACGUG